AGGCUGGUCUUGAAUUCCUGGGCUCAACUGAUUCACCUGCCUCGGCCUCCUUCUUCACCUCUAUUUCUUUCUUCACUACUCAACCCGAGGUGCAAAAGAGGAUAAACAAGUUCUGGGAUUACAGGUGUGAGCUGCUGCGCCCAGCCUGUCUUUAAUUCUUGAAGUAAAAUUUCUCCUAUAUUUGUAACAAUGACUCUCCCGCAUGCUAUUUUACUUCCUGAUUAGGUUGGGAAAAUGUGGCUUGAAAUUCACCUUCAAUGAAGAUUGUUUUCCAUGAGAGUCCUUUUUCCCCUAUGUUGUAGAUCUGCCUCUACCAAGUGGUUUUUAGUACGUUGCUGCCUGUGGUCAUUCAGAUUUCAACAGCGUUAAUAUCUUGGCUUGGUGCUUCCACUAUACAGAAAUAAAUUUGGUCCUUGAGUGCCCAAUGGCACAAGUUUGGAAUUUAUUUUUCUCAUGCAUAUGCAUUUUUACACUCAUGGCUCCAGCCAGAAAGAAAGCUGCCUUACCAUUAUUCUGGACAGGUGGGCAGUUGUCAAGGCUUAUGUUUGUGGAUGAUCAGUUCUGAGUAGCUUCUGGUUUUAAGCUAGUAACUCAGCACAGGGCCUGUAGCCAGGAUUCCUUUCUCAUUUAGAGAAUUCAAUUCCUAGUUCCCAACUGUUAUAUCUGUUUCUGAUAUCCCCGUGAGUCAUUCUGUCUCAGCCUUGCUCACCAGAGGACUUAGAAUUCCCUCCCCGUUAGGUUACUUGGGAAUUUCUCUUCUUUAAAGCUUACCUAUCUAUUUUAUUUUUUAUGUUAAAUUUUAUUCAGUAUUCUCAUGUCUGGAACAAAAUGGAGUUCUUUUAUUAGAACACAGACUAAUUUUGUUAGACCUGAACAAUGUGUUUAAAAUGUUUGAAAGCCUUUAAGUUGGGGAAUACAUGUACUAGCUUGUCACAUGCUUAUCUUAUCAUCAUACUGGCCUUAUGAUAUUCAUACUGGCCUGAUCUUCGUAAUGAUCUGAUGAUAUUCAUAUCACUCUACACAUGUUUUCAUUUGCUUUUUAGACUCCUGUUCUACAGAAAUAGACAUAUAUUAUUUUCUGAAAAUUUAAUUACUUGACCAUUUGAAAAUUGCAUCCUGUUUUAAAAAAUAUCCUGGCAGCUGAGCUGUAUACUUGGUGUAUAAUGUGUGCAGCAUUAGGGGUUCCCCAAUAUUAGUUCCAGAAUAUCUACCUAUAAAAUGAUAGCAAUAUUGGGAUCGAUGAUGUCUACAACAUACUACUAUUUCCUUGUGGUGCAAGAAAGGACGCGGGCUAUAGAGAAAGUCACAAGUAUCAAGUGUUCCUGGGGUUUAGGGACAUAAGACUAAAGAGGACAAGUAUUAUUGAGGUACUUCAGGGCAAGCAUGUAUGCCUUUGUCCCAGUCUUUUUAGGGAACAUUUAGGUUCUUCAGUAACCUAGGCUAGCAAUAUUAGCAUCAAAAAUCUUAUUUUAAGCUGGCUGGAAGGUAAUUUUGAAGAGUCAUUUUGCAAAUUUAUCCUAAUAUCUUAUGUGAUCCUUUCUUUUAACCAAAUGUAAGUGUGAAGAGACAGAGAUUGUCACCAGGAAUAGAGCACUAAUGUACAGCAAUAGACGGUAGAAAAUGGUGGUCCUUUCAAUGAGCCACUACAAAGCCAUCUUGUUUUAAAUUACCUAAAAGUGAUUCUCCAUGUCUGGGAAUUUUAGAAUUACGUGAGAGGCUUACAGCUUUUUAGGCCACAGACCUCCUUCCCUCUUCUUCUUGCCCUUUUUCCUUUGUAUGUUUCUAAGUGUCUAUUGUCCCCCUUCCUCUCCCACUGUUCUAACUACUGCCUAUAAAUAAUUCUCUUCCAGGACCAUUUCUACCCGUUAUGUCAAGAACCACUGAGCUACAGUGUUAAUGCUUGGCCAGUUACAUUGCCCAGUGGCUUGACAUUACAUUCAUUGCCAGCAAUAAUUAUGAACAUUUUUAGCCUAAAAUAUUUAAAUAGUUAUGAAUUCCUGCCUAUUCUACAUAUAGUUUCAAUGAUUAGAAUUAGAGAUCCUGUUUUCCCCCAGCAAUAUUAUAAAACUAAAUAUCUUCCACAUGAUAUCUUACUCUAACCUUGAGUUUUUAAUCAAUUAGUUAAUUAUAUUUACUUGGGAUUUUAGCCCUAAUGGGUCCACAUCACUUAAAAAAAAAAAAGUCUGUCCUCUGCUGAAUAUUCAGAGUUUAAAAAUGGAGGUUUAAUCUCUCUUGGCUGUUGAGUUUGAGCCUUCUGUUGGUUUCAAUAAUCUUUUAAUUAUUGCAGUAUUGUGUGCUGAAUUAUUCUCACAGUGUUAUUGUGGCAGGCCUGGAUUCUUAGCCCAGAAAAUUAGAAUUGUUUUCUUCUCCAGCCCUUCUGACAAUCAUAUUUUUAUACCUGUUCACAGGUUUCCAAAGAUUAAAUGUGAUCAACACUGAUCUCCAUAUUUUCAAUUAAAAUCUUUGUGAAAUACCACUUGAUUUCCAGUUGAAGUAGUAGUAAACCAUAUUUUCUCAAUGUAUGUGUAACUUCUCCAUAUCCUACUAUAUAUAGGUCAAUGAACUGAAAAUUUGGGUACCAUUCAACUUGGGAAGACAACCAAUAUAAAACAAAGAAAAAGUUAACUAAGAACAUUCUAGCUAUUGCUGAUAAUCUGAAAAAAAUUCUGGAAUGCUCUGGGGGCAGGAUUCAGUCUAGCAGCACGUAUAUAGUUUAGAGAAACUCUACAGGAUGUAGAUUUUGAAAAUAAAUAGAAACAAAUAAAUUUAACAUUUAUUAAUUUAUUGGACAACUACUGUGCUAAGUGAUUUACAUAAGAUUUCAUUUAUUCCUUGUAAGAGUUGCAUAUUUUACAACUAGGUAAGGAGGUAUUGACAGUUUUAUAAAUGAGGAGACUGAGGGCCAAGAGAGUUCAAAUAACUUACCCUAGGUCACUACAAAUAGCAAGAUUCUAUUUGAUUCUAAAAUUCUUUUCAGCAGACUAGUCUUACAAAAUCCUCUGUUCAGUAGUUUGUAUCUAAGUAGUUUAAAUAACUGAGAGGGGAAUUUGUUUCUAAACUUAAACACUGGAAAUCAAUAUUGUGCUCUUUUGUUAUAUGCAGUAUCUUAGGACUGCUGAAAUUCUAAUGGGUGAGGUUUCCCACUUGUCUGAAAGAGAGUAUUGUACACUGAUUGGGAUUAGGAGAUAAUAGUUUAGUUGGCAGUUUCUUUGGACAUUUGAUAUGGGCAGUAGAGAAGGAAUAAAUUAGCCAUUUUGGAAUAUGGUGAAAAUUAAUAGUAAAAUUAAAUAGCACAUAACUGAAAACACCCUUAUCCUAUAGGAAAUAGGACACCCUUACCCUAUAGGAAACUUUUGCUUAGAUUGAAAUAUAAGCAGCAGUGCUCAUAUAUUUACAGCAGUUUCAAAUUCAAAUGAAUCCUACUUUAAAAUGUGUUCUAUCUAUUCCACUGAAUUGUUAUCUGAUGGGAAGGUGGAAUGUAAUGCAGUGGAAUGUAUCAUUAUCUGAAACAGGCAUGGAGCAGUUUAGAAAUUUGCUCAAGGUCACACAAUUUAGCAGAGCUGAGAUUCAAACUCAAGUGGCCUGGCUCCAAAGCCAUUCUUCUAACCAUGACACAACUUUUUUUCUUUUCUUUUCUUUUUUGAAACAGGCUCUUGGGGUCUUGCUCUGUCACUUGGGCUGGAGUGCAGUGGUGCAAUCACGGGCCACUGCAGCCUUUAUGUCCAGGCUCAAGUGGUCUUCCCAUCUCAGCCUCCUGAGGGCCUGGGACCACAGGCAGCCAGAGAUUAGACAUAUUUGGAAUUAUUUCAUGCAUCAAGAGAAGCAACUGGAAUCCCUAGAGACAUGAAUACAACUUCAGGAAAGAAAUCUGCUUUUCUAUUCUUUGAUGACUGACCUAGGCUGUGUGGCUAGCUCUUCUCCUUACUUACAAAAUUAUUAUCCCAUAAAAAAGCACUGGAAAACUAGAGUUUGGAAAGCAAUGAAAAUGAAGCAGUUGCCUCGUAGAACUGGAAGCUCAACUUCAUGCCUUAAAUGUGGAUUUUUUUUUCUAAGUUCUUGGGGUGGUCCGGUAUCAGAGCUCAUAAUCAGACCCUCAGAGAAUAUGGCCAGUAUCCUUCUAGCUUGGAUUUAGAUCACAGAUCAGCUGUGACUAUUGUCACAGUUGCUAGGCAACGUUUGUAUGUUUAUUUCGAGGCCUACCCACAUGUUGCAUCAGAGGCCAAAGCUCAUGUGCUCUGCACUCCUCAGAACAAGUAGAGCUCUUUAUUUUUAACUAAACUGUUUCCUUGUAAUGUAUUUUAUGAAUGUACAGCCUACUCUGCCAAGCUGUAGUUAUCUUCAGUUUCUCCCUAGUAGUCCCAAUUCUCUAAAUUUUUGCAUUCAACUUCAUCUAACCUGUUGCAUUCUGGACUGAAUAUCUCUGGUACUUUCCUACCCCUAAGUCUUGUGCAAGCUGUUUUGCUCACCUAGAAUGCCUGCCUGAUCCAGCCUCUAUCUACACAUUUUGUAAAAUCAAGAUAUUUUGUUUUAAUAUUUGAUAUGAGGGCAGUCAACUUGUUACAGCAAAAAGUUCAUGGACAUUAUUGUCAUAUCUGUGUUCAAAUUCAGGCUCUGCCCCUUCUUAACUGUGUAAUCUUAGAUAAGUUAUUUAACUUCUCUAAGCAUCACUUUUCUCAUUGAUAAAAUGCAGAUAAUGUUUACCUAUCAAGAUUUAUGAAGAUAUAUUGAAAUGAGAUACAUAGAGCACCUGUCACAGCUCCUGGUAUUUGGAAGAUUCUAUAAGUCCCCACCUCCCUGUAGAUGACACUACAAUAAGCAUCCAAUAAAUAGUCCCUGCCUUGUCUAUGAAGCCUUUCCUAACCAUCUUCCAAACCAGCACCUCAGAAAUAGUCUCCCUCUUCUGACCGCCUGUAGCAUUGUAUUGUACCUAAGAUCUUAUCACAGUCAAACUUGUCAAAUACUAUGUUCUGAGAUACAAGUUGGCACUGUAACUAGAUCUGCUAGCACAACACCAUAUUCUGCCCAAAAGAGAUGGCUGAACUUCAUUCAUAGAUGAUCCAUUGUUUAUCUUUCAUCAGAAUCACACUUUCAGUUAUCAUAAACACUAUACCUUGUUAGAUGACUCUAUUGCAGGUCUCUUUAAAAGCACCAUUAUUAUACUUAAUAAUUAAAGGGAUUGUAAGAAUGUAUGUCAUGGUGUGACAGCUUGGCAAACAACAGACAUCUGAAUAUUCAUUUCCUGAAGUGAAUAAUCCAUCAUUACAGAAAGAAAAAUGGAAGCCUGUAUUCAAUAGACCUAUAAAAGGUGUUUAAAGAAUGUCCAUGUCUUUCUUAGAAAAGCCCCUUGUGAGCAGCCUUGUUUUGUUGCGGUUGUCUUACAGGAAGCAGCUCAGGGUUUUGCGUAUAUGUGUUUUAUUUUUAAGUUGUACAACUCCUGGUUGAUGACAGUCAUAACGUAAAUGACCUAAAGUUUAAAUUGCGUUAUUCUAAUCAGUUUUCUGACCUCUGCUGUCAACAGAAUUUCUGACGAUCAAAUAAUAAAACUCAGACAAUAUUGGUUUUGUGCCAUAAAAUAAUACUCUUGUGUUUAUUCAUGUACAAAUUCAUGCAUUUAUCUCAGAUACUUGUUAAGCAACUACUAUGUUAAGGCUCCGGGGAUGGGGAUGGGGAUGGGUGGCAACUCAAACAGGCCUGGCCCCUGCCUUCAUGGAGUUCACAUUUGGCUGUUUUAUAAAUGUUGUGAGGAAAGGAUUUUUUUUCACCCAUGAUUGCCUUUAUUUCAAUAUUUGAGAUGUGUUAUUAAAUAAGAAUCUGAUCAUGGCUCAGGUCAAAUUAUUUGUUUUUCUCUUGUACAUCUAGCAGAGCUGUUUGUAAAAGUUAAAAAUUAGUUAUUGAUUUGUCAGAUUUUUUAAUUUAGAAAAUGUUUUGUAUUUGUUUUGCGGUUUGCCUAAAUUGCUCUAACAUUUGGUAUCUAAUUUGACUCUCACAGUAACCCUGUAGGGUGCAUGGUAUUGCCAUGAUAAGAAACUAGAUGCUCAGCAGGCUUAAUUGACCUCCCAUGGAGUCCCGGCCACUUAGCAGCCAUCCAAAUGGAAACUUAAGUCUUCUGAUUUAUUAAGUGUGUUCUUGAUUCCAGCUUAAAAAAAACUUAAAGUAUUAAAACUGUAUCUUAUUCUGUGUUUAAAUGAGACUAACUGACAGCUAGAAAAUGGAAACAAAAAUGUGAAUCAACUGUGAUUUUUGAGCCCCUCUCUGCUACUGUAUAGGCACUGUGGGGAGUAGAAAUGACCUCUGCCUCUUGAUAAAUUUAUAGCUUCAUCGAUAAGACAUAAUGUACACUUAGAAAGGAACUCAGUAACCCUCCAACACAGAAUGCAUGGUUCAGUGUUAAAGUGAGAAAUAUCAACACAAGAGUUGAGAAGAUAAUAAGAGCUAAAGCAGAUGCAAAUAGUGUAUCUUGAGCUAAAUCUUCAAGGGCAGGGAAGAUGGGACUUGGGCAGGGAAGAGGCUUCUAGGCAGGGGGAAUGGCAAGUUGCAAGGCUCAGAAGUGGAAGGGAGUGUGAUGGUGAUAGUGAUAACAAUAACUGCCAUUUGCCCAGCACUUAUCACUUGCCAAGCAGUUAUUGGUUCACAUGCAUUAACUUAUCCUUAAAACGGCUAUCAAAACAAUUCAACCAGAGAAGAAUUGUUACUAUUUCAAUUUUACAUAUGAGGAAACUGAGGCAGAGAGGUUAAGCAACUUGCUCAAGGUUGCAUGUGCAUUAAAUGGCAGCUGGAUUCCACCAUGGUCUUGAGACCAGAAUCCACUCUAACCCUUUUAACCUGUGUGUUAUGCUGCCUGAUGUGGUGCUCGUGAGAUGGUAAGGACACCUUCAUGGUUAGAGGGGAGACUCAAUAUGGGGUCAUGAUGAGAGAGGUCAAAUAAUGGAGAAUCUAAAAAUCAGGCAGAAGGCAUUAAACUUUGUCUAGGACUUAUUGAUAUUUCAUCAGUGCGGAAACAUGGUAGACAUUUAUUUUAGAAAGAUUAGUCAGCCCUAGACAGAAAGGAUUGAGAGACAAAUAAGGGUAAGGAUGGCAACUAUUAGAUGGAAACUAUUAAAAGGGGGUUUCUAUCCAGGUAUGGGUGAUAGGUGAUUAGACCUGGAGUAGGGUAGCAGUAGAAAUGAGAAGGAUGUAAUGGUGAUAAGGACUGGAACUGGCACUGAAUCAACAGGUGAGUCAAGGCCAGGUGAUUUCCUGAGAGCAGCUUCAUGGUAUUACCCCCAUUUUACAGAUGAGGAAAUACGGAGGCUCCAAGAGGUUAAUUUGGGCUAAUAAGCAUUGGAGCAGGGAUUUCAGCCUAUAUCUAUCUUUCUUGGCUUCCUCUCUUUAAGGUAAAAUAAUGCAGUCUGGUCAUAUAGUAGAGUUGCUGAUAAGGUUUGAAGAAUUGCUCCCAAAAUAAGAGAUGCUUAAAGUCAUGGGGAGAAAUCAACAUUCAGAGGGAGCAAUAAUAUCAGAGAAAAGGCAGAGACUGACUAUUAAAGAACACUGGAGGGAGGGAGGAGGGUAAGGAUUGAAAAACUACCUAUCAGGUACUGUGCUUAUCACCUGGGCGAUGAAAUAAUCUGUCCACCAAACCCCCAUGACACGCAGUUUACCUGUUUAACAAACUUACACAUGUGCCCCUGAACCUAAAAGUUAAAAAAAAAAAGAAUACAGAGAAGAAUGGAGCAAGUGGAAGAGGCUUCCGGAAGAAAACAAGUUAGAGGUAUAGGGAGGGAACCCAGGGCUCCUAAAGCCACAGCAGCCAACAAGGAGAGAACAGUCAGUGAAUGACUCAAAGUGAAACUGCCAAUGGAUUGUCAAGUGGAGAAGGAGGGAACAUGCACGCAGCCCAGUGUUCUUAGUAACCCUCAACAAACAAAGACAGAUUCAGGUGUGUGAAGGGCAAGUAGUGUUGCAGGUGGGAGGAUAUGGGAGUGCUGCCAGUGAUGGGGUGGAGAAGGGAAGGAAGGUCUGUCAUGAGGAGAAAGAAUUCUGACGCAUCCGAUGCCCCACUCUGUGCCAAGUUCCGAGCCAAGCCAGCUGCGGUCAAGGGGAGAGAUCACGGGGAGGCUGAAUGGCUGGAGGGGAGGCAGAGAGGAUUCCUGUAAUCCAGUGGGAGGUGCCUGGCAAGAGGCCAGGAGGACGUGAAGGGAUUCUAAUGUGUGGUAGACAAAGAAGUAAGGAGCUGAGGGAAUGAUUGUUCCAUCAGCUACAUGUAGUGGCGCAAUGGAUGAGCCCGCAUCCUAGGAGCCCCCUUCCUCUGCCCCUGCUUCUAUAGAAGCCCUUACCUUCCCAUCCUGGCUCACUUGCCAGGACCUGCUGGGGAGCUCAGAACCCUCCCUACUCCCAUCCAGUCUCACAAGACAGUUAAGUGAGCCUCCCACCUCAGCCUUCCAAGUAGCUGGGACUACAGGCGCGUGCCACCACACUCAGCUAAUUUUUAAAUUUUUUGUAGAGACAAGGUCUCACUACAUUGCCCAGGCUGGUCUCCAACUUCUGGACUCAAGCUGUCCUCCCAUCUCGGCCUCCCGAGGUGCUGGGAUUUCAGGUGUGAGCCAUUGCACCCAUCUGUACAUUGCUUUUUAAAUAAUAAUUGUUGAAUAGGCGGGUGAGUGGAGAGUAAUUUCUAUUAAGGAACUUUUCUCUGCUUCUUGUUACUCUGACUUGUGCCUUAAUUCAAGUUUAUAAAUGAUUACUAAUAUUUGGGAUAUUAAGAUAGGUACAUGGGUCAUUUGGGAGGGGUAGUAUUUUGAUAGCAGCACUUUAUACUCUGAUUUACAGUAUUAAUUCUUUAGAGGUAUUUUGGUGUAUAUGAGCACUGAUGGUUGUGCUUUAAAAUUGGCAGCCCGUUGAUGUUAGCAGGACCAGCCAAGUGGCAGGCACUGCAGUAGAGGGACCUGGGUUAGAAGUCAGAUGGCCAAGCUCCCAGGCCUGGCGUACACAGCUCGGAGGGUCCUCGUGCAGAGAGUGCUCCUUUCCAGCCUGAGCGAUCCCUCCUUAUCCUCCAAUCACCGCAUGACAGGUCACAUUAUCAGAACUGCCUGUCUCAACUAUCCCCUGAACUGCUAUGGUUCCCUCAUCUACAUUCUCAUGGAACCCUGUGAGUUUCCUUUGUAGCAAAUAAUUGUUGGGAGUGAUUAUUUCUACUAAUGCCAUCUUUGACUAGGCUAUAGCUUUCAUACGGGCAGGGACAUGCCUACUGGUUUUACCUCUGUGUCCCCAGCACCUGACACAGUACCUGGCACAGAGCAUAUUCUGGAUAAACACCUGGGGGAGCCAAUGAACUCUGGUAAAAUCUUGGACAUGAGAUUCCAUUUUUCUCACCUGUUUAAAGCCUGUAUAUUAAAGCUUGUAUUAAACUUUAUCACUAAGGUGCUUUCUCUUUGAAGAUCUAUGGAUUAACCCUUCACAAUUUUUUAUUAUAAAUGUUAUCCACAUCAAUGAUACGAAAUUCAAACAAUGCAAAAGAGUAUACAAUGAAAGUGUAUUCAUUCAUUCACCAGAGAUUACAAAUAUUGAAAGUUGCUUGUCUUUACAGAGAGAAUAAAAA
This 9574-nucleotide long non-coding RNA is filed under the name Homo sapiens (human). Its description in RNAcentral is "HSALNT0328419". Lineage: Eukaryota; Metazoa; Chordata; Mammalia; Primates; Hominidae. The record is from RNAcentral.